GAGAUCGGGCGUUCCCCUCGGGGGACAGGGUGACAGGUGGUGCAUGGUUGUCGUCAGCUCGUGUCGUGAGAUGUUGGGUUAAGUCCCGCAGCGAGCGCAACCCUCGACCUUAGUUGCCAGCAUUCAGUUGGGCACUCUAAGGUGACUGCCGGCUAAAAGUCGGAGGAAGGUGGGGAUGACGUCAAAUCAUCAUGCCCCUUAUGACCUGGGCUACACACGUGCUACAAUGGGCGGUACAAAGGGUCGCGAACCCGCGAGGGGGAGCCAAUCCCAAAAAGCCGCUUUCAGUUCGGAUUGCAGGCUGCAACUCGCCUGCAUGAAGCCGGAAUCGCUAGUAAUCGCGGAUCAGCAUGCCGCGGUGAAUACGUUCCCGGGCCUU
This 379-nucleotide ribosomal RNA is filed under the name uncultured Anoxybacillus sp. RNAcentral describes it as "bacterial SSU rRNA". It matches the Rfam family "Bacterial small subunit ribosomal RNA", at positions 1003 to 1382 of the family's 1533-position model. Lineage: Bacteria; Bacillati; Bacillota; Bacilli; Caryophanales; Anoxybacillaceae. The record is from RNAcentral.